This 942-nucleotide ribosomal RNA is filed under the name uncultured crenarchaeote. RNAcentral's name for it is "bacterial SSU rRNA". It matches the Rfam family "Archaeal small subunit ribosomal RNA", at positions 1 to 923 of the family's 1478-position model. Lineage: Archaea; Thermoproteati; Thermoproteota. The record is from RNAcentral.
UUCCGGUUGAUCCCGCCGGACCCCACUGCUAUCGGGAUAGGACUAAGACAUGCUAGUCGUGUGCCUCAGCCAAAACGAGGCACGGCGCACAGCUCAGUAACACGUGGCUAACCUGCCCUUAGGACGAGAAUAACCCCGGGAAACUGGGGCUAAUGCUCGAUAGGUGAAGAACUCUGGAAUGAGUCUUCACUUAAAAGAGUCUGCGUUAUGCUCGUAGAUUUCGCUUAAGGAUGGGGCCGCGACCGAUCAGGUUGUUGGUGAGGUAAUGGCUCACCAAGCCUUUUACCGGUGCGGGCCGUGAGAGCGGGAGCCCGGAGAUGGGCACUGAGACAAGGGCCCAGGCCCUACGGGGCGCAGCAGUCGCGAAAACUUUGCAAUACACGAAAGUGUGACAGGGCUAUCCCGAGUGCCAUCCGCUGAGGAAGGCUUUUACCCAGUCUAGAACGCUGGGGGAAUAAGGAGAGGGCAAGUCUGGUGUCAGCCGCCGCGGUAAUACCAGCUCUCCGAGUGGUGUGGAUGUUUAUUGGGCCUAAAGCAUCCGUAGCUGGCUAAGUUAGUCCCCUGUUAAAUCCAACGAAUUAAUCGUUGGAUCGCGGGGGAUACUGCUUGGCUAGGGGACGAGAGAGGCAGACGGUAUUUCCGGGGUAGGGGUGAAAUCCUAUAAUCCCGGGAAGACCACCAGUGGCGAAGGCUGUCUGCUAGAACGCGCCCGACGGUGAGGGAUGAAAGCUGGGGGAGCGAACCGGAUUAGAUACCCGGGUAGUCCCAGCUGUAAACGAUGCAGGCUAGGUGUUUGGACGGCCACGUGCCGUUCUAGUGCCGCAGGGAAGCUGUUAAGCCUGCCGCCUGGGGAGUACGAUCGCAAGAUUGAAACUUAAAGGAAUUGGCGGGGGAGCACCACAAGGGGUGAAGCUUGCGGUUUAAUUGGAGUCAACGCCGGGA